ACAAAGGUAAUUUAAAUAAAAAUGUAGGGUUUCAAACUCUAAUAUACAGAAGUUUUGUUCUUUGUG
RNAcentral lists this transfer RNA (66 nucleotides) under Modiolus metcalfei. RNAcentral describes it as "tRNA-Trp". Lineage: Eukaryota; Metazoa; Mollusca; Bivalvia; Mytilida; Modiolidae. RNAcentral also lists the same sequence under 1 other name. The record is from RNAcentral.